AGGCUUGAGUCUUGUAGAGGGGGGUAGAAUUCCAGGUGUAGCGGUGAAAUGCGUAGAGAUCUGGAGGAAUACCGGUGGCGAAGGCGGCCCCCUGGACAAAGACUGACGCUCAGGUGCGAAAGCGUGGGGAGCAAACAGGAUUAGAUACCCUGGUAGUCCACGCCGUAAACGAUGUCUACUUGGAGGUUGUGCCCUUGAGGCGUGGCUUCCGGAGCUAACGCGUUAAGUAGACCGCCUGGGGAGUACGGCCGCAAGGUUAAAACUCAAAUGAAUUGACGGGGGCCCGCACAAGCGGUGGAGCAUGUGGUUUAAUUCGAUGCAACGCGAAGAACCUUACCUGGUCUUGACAUCCACGGAAGUUUUCAGAGAUGAGAAUGUGCCUUCGGGAACCGUGAGACAGGUGCUGCAUGGCUGUCGUCAGCUCGUGUUGUGAAAUGUUGGGUUAAGUCCCGCAACGAGCGCAACCC
This 467-nucleotide ribosomal RNA is filed under the name Salmonella enterica. Its description in RNAcentral is "partial 16S ribosomal RNA". It matches the Rfam family "Bacterial small subunit ribosomal RNA", at positions 638 to 1104 of the family's 1533-position model. Lineage: Bacteria; Pseudomonadati; Pseudomonadota; Gammaproteobacteria; Enterobacterales; Enterobacteriaceae. RNAcentral also lists the same sequence under 1 other name. The record is from RNAcentral.